This 3609-nucleotide unclassified non-coding RNA is filed under the name Leishmania donovani. RNAcentral describes it as "gene:LdHU3.07.1330(CDS-product:hypothetical_prote in_conserved)". Lineage: Eukaryota; Euglenozoa; Kinetoplastea; Trypanosomatida; Trypanosomatidae. The record is from RNAcentral.
UGCGCGUUUUAGCUCGCGUGUGUGCAAGCGCCUCUGUGUCGCUGCGGCAGCCCACCAAAGCCCACAGAGAGGGUGUGGCAGCGUGCCGCCUGACUUGGCUGGGCAAGACGUGCGCACGGGUCCACCGACGUGCUUCCCCGCCCUCCCUUUCUUUCUUCUCCCUGUCUCUUCGUGCACAACACACGCACGGCCAUCCACAUACGAACGUACCCGCGCCAACACGCGCUCAUCCCGGCAGCGGCACUUGCGCGCGCUACAGUGGCGCGCUGGAGGUUUUAUUCAUUGUGUUCUCGCUCCCCUUCCAGCAUGGCGUUGCCUGUGUUCGGCUGCGAGCAGCAGCGGAGCUAUACUUUCUCCAUGCACUGCAAGCGCUCCCUUAACCCGACACUGACGCAUCAGUUCGAGGUGACGUGGCCGUGGCCAGCGCUGCAGCGCAAAGGGCGGCCUCGCGUCGCCAGCGGUAUUACUGGCGAUGCACAGGCCGUGGCGAGAUCGUCAAACACACCGCAGGGCGGCCUUUUCAAGGAGGAGGACGAGGCAGAGGAGGGAGAGGACGAAGAGGGAGAGGAGGACGUGGAGGGAACCGCCAAGGCGGGCGUGCAUGGCCGUGCCGCGACCUGCCGCCGCGUCGCGCCUCUUUGGCGAGAGCGACGCCGCUACGGACGGCCAACGUUCAUCCUUGACCUCUCGAGUGACCCGUUUCUUGGCGGGCAUGAGACACGUCGCGCUGGUGCGCUUCUCUCGCCAGGCUAUCGCUGCCUCUUACCCUUGGUCCAGCUUGGCGAGCCGGAGCAGCUGCCGGACAGGGCCGGUGUGGCUUUCUGGCGCACAGCCUUUAAGCCGCCAUUGUGCAGGGCAGAGUCUUUGUUGUCGUCCUCGCAUCCUAGCGCCGCCUACCCACCGCCGUACUGCGCCGAGCUUGUCGUCGGUGAGCUUUCCGGGAUUGAGCGGGCGGUUCGACAGCGUUAUGAGAGGGCGACAGCGUCAUCCCGACGCAACAACACGCAUGCGCCUAUGAGGCCGUCGUUUCUGUCUCGCAUUUCACUCGAGCCCCGCACACAGCUCAGCGCGCCGCCGCCGACAGCCGGCGGAGAGGAGAACUUGCCGACAGAGAGCCCCGGCCGUCCAUCGCCGUGUGCAAAGCAAGCGGAAGAGGCGGCGCCCGCCGCAUCGCUGACGUCAGCGACGGAGCGUGGUCAUGGGCAGAUAGCUGCGGCAUCGAGCCCACCAGCAGCGUCAUCACGGUCACAGCGAGUCUCAGCCUUCGCACCCAAGACGGUGCUUACCUUUUUCUUCUACACCAUCCCGUUUCGCCUUCGCUGGCUCUCACAGCUGCCGGGAUGCAUCGUUGUCUCUCUGCCAUGCGAGGAGCGACUGCUGACCUUGCACGCACCUCAUGCGAAUGACGACCACAGCGGCGUACGGCAGCCAUCACCGUCGUUGGUGCGUGGCGGUGGCAGCGCCACUCCGACUGCGAUCAUUGCCAUGUCACAGGCCCACAGCUACGCGCUGCCGCGCGGUGUGGUUCCGCUCGAUAUCUCGGAGGUGUUUGACCGCCCCUUUCUCGCCAUAGGCACGGCUGAGCACGGGGUGUUGCUGUGCCACCUCGACACGUCGACCGGUGCCGUGCAGAGCAUCGCGCGCUGGAUCUCGCUGAGAGGGUAUGGGAGCUCUCUGUACCCCGUGACCCGCCUCGCGGCGGUGUUCCCUGCACGUCAGCCGGAGCGCGCGCCGGGCCGCUUCACCGACUUCCCCUCAGCACCCCCGUGGGCGAGGCACGCGGUCGCCCUCGAAAGCCUCAACGACGGCGCACUCGUGUGCUCCUCGCCGUAUGAGGCCACCGCCGCUGUUGUCAAGCUCGGCGUGGCCGCAGAGGGCGUGGUAGAGGACUUCUCUGUCCUCCGCGGCGUCGACACGAUCCUUGACGUGAGCGCGACUGUGCAGCCCGAUUUGGGACCACUAGUCUGCACCGUGGCGCGGAAACUGCUACGGUUGCGUGUCGUUGACUCCGCGGCCGAGGCGGCGGAGCGGCGCACUGCAAUUCUGAAGAAAAAGUUGGACUCCGGUCUUGCCGAUCGCGUGAGUCCGUGCCUGACUCACGACCGGAUGGCGCGGCUGGAAUGCCCGCUUCUUCACGUCGCUUCCAGCCCUGCUGUCGUGCAGUCCUUCACCGAAAAGUACGUGAGUCGGCGCCGAUACACGAAGCACUGGCAGUUUGCAGUGGACAGCUCGAAUCGCGUGGUACUGCUAGACCGGACGGUGAGCCAAUACAUUGUCCACUCCACCUUUCAGUUAUGCCGCUGCGGCUCGGCCGCCGGGGAGGGGCGAGUCGCGCCGACCGGCUCUCUUCUCCCCGUCUCCGCCACGGCGGACCGCAGGAACGAGAGGCAGGCAAAGGUGCCUUGCGCAGGCGAAGAGGAGGAUGUGCUCUUCAAAAGCUGCGCGGCCGCCGCAGACGACAACGAGGACAACACGCCGUUGUCGUCGCUUCCGUCGGCGCGGCUCUCGCCAACUCCUGCUGGUGGCCAGAAACGUCCGCGACCGGCGCCGAAGGCCUCAAGGAACAAGAGGGGGUCUGAGUCGGCUGCCAAGCGUCGUGGGGCAGCGGCCGCGCCGUCCUCCGUUGCUGCUGCCGGUGCUAAGGAGGAAAGGGAUGAGGACGAGGACGAGGACGACGCAUCGCCUGGCAAGGUGAACUCGUUUCAUGCCUUUGCAUCGGCGGUCCCCAUUGAGGAUGCCUGCAGCGGCGUCGUGGUGACGCGUGUGGAGGAUCAGAUGAUCCAAGUGGCUGCCUCGCACGACCGUGACUGCAUUUCUCUGGUGACGUGGCGCAUCGGUCUUGUUACCAUGCCACCACCACCGAUGUUCUCUUCCGCGGCCACCGCCAUCACGGCAGCCUCCGCUGCAUACGGCAAGGCAGAUGCGCAGUCGUAGAGACGGGAUGAAGGUGGGGGAGAGGACCUUGUUUCUUGCCCUUCUGCGAACGGUUUCUCGCGUAGGCAGCGAUGCACCUGGGCGCUCAAAGACGUAGCUAGCAGCAGAGAUUGCUGUGUAAGGAGUACGCGUUUCCAGCGCAGCCAUGGACAGAGACGCCAUGGAUAGCGAAGGAGGGAAGGUGGUGAUAGUGUUCAGGUGCUGAGGAGCUUGUGGUGGUGGUGGGAAGGAACGACCUGGCGGGUGGUAUCGCGCGCUCGGCAACUGUCUUUUUUUCGAAUGAGCGGAGGAGGGGGAGGGGUGCUCGUAUCGCCCACCAUCGUGAUCAGCGACUCCACCGGUGUGUGUGUGUGUGUGUUCUCUCUUUCUCUUUAGAUCUUGUACCCCUCCCCCUUCGCCGGACAUCGACGCGUCUCUCGUUUUCCCCAAAGCAUCACCCACACGACCCACAUGUGAUGCGUGAGGGGUGCACGUGUGCCAAAGGCCCCUUCCCCCGUUUCCUGUUCACUCUGGCAACUCGGCCACCGCUAGAUUUACUUCCAAUGACACUGUGCCAUUCUUGUCCGACUCCCUCCUCCCUUCGGCAUUCGUGACUCUCUGCAUCGUCACAGCAACGCCUCUUCCGCUCAACGCCUCCUCCCCUAUGUCUCCGGCAGCACCAAGGAGCAUCGGAAC